GGAACGAAACGGCUCCCCUCAGUUCCAUCACGGCGAGCCGGGACGAUAAGUCGUCGUUGCAUUUUCGUCUCUGAAACUUUUUUUUUUCCAUCCUUCCCGAUAUAAUUAUUCUUCGAUCCACGCGCACAUCAUUCUACCCUCGUGUGAAUAUAAAAUAGAUAAAAUAAAAAAAAUAACAUUACGAUAAUAAUCGUCGAGAUCCGGGAAAGUGAUUAAGAGAAGAAACACGUCGUUGUCGUCAUUGUUACAGAAAAUAAGACACAAUCAAGAAGAAGAAAUAAUAGAUAAAUAGAAAAAUAGAAGAAAAAGAAGAUUUAAAAAAAGUACGACAGACGUCACAUCGAAGCUGACUCUCCUUUUUCUAUCAACUAUUCGUCUAUUCAUCUACAACGCCAAAUUCAUUUUGAAUUUCAUCCUUGCUGACUUCUGGAUUACGCGUCAAAUUACGUGCCGAAGGGGGAAGCUUAAUAUCACGAGAAGAAGGAUAGGAGCAGGGUGAGAGGGGUGUAGCUGUUGAGGGGGAAAGGAACAAGGUGUAUUCAAGUGAGGUGGUGCAAUUGCAAGGAACGAAAGACGACCCCCAUAACCAUUGCAUUUUUCGCUGUUCAAGAAGAAUCUACUGUAAGGAGACGAGACAUAGGAUGGGCUCAUCCGUGCGAGCACUCGUUCUACAUUGAAGAGGAGGAGUACCGUAAGGGUGGUGGUGGUGG
This 710-nucleotide long non-coding RNA is filed under the name Polistes canadensis. RNAcentral describes it as "uncharacterized LOC106790975, transcript variant X3". Lineage: Eukaryota; Metazoa; Arthropoda; Insecta; Hymenoptera; Vespidae. The record is from RNAcentral.